This is a non-coding RNA of Aedes albopictus (Asian tiger mosquito), 74 nucleotides long. NCBI's taxonomy places the organism in Eukaryota, Metazoa, Arthropoda, Insecta, Diptera, Culicidae. The record is from Rfam.
UGUUCUGUGGCUUAGUUGGUUAAAGCGCCGGUCUAGCGAAUUUGGAGUCGUGGGUUCGAAUCCCACCAGAACAC